CCUAUACUUAUUAUACUCUAUACCAUGACUAUACUCUUUGGUCAUUGGGACUGGCACGCACCUCGUACGACUGUUUUGUUUUCUUGACCUGAAGAAAUAGCAGAAGUUUUAAGGAUUGCAUCAUGCUUGGUUAUCCAAUGGCCUGGCAAGUCUGGUCACUUUUAAGAUUGCGCAAUGCGUGAAAAAUAUAAAUUGAACUUUGUUAUUCCAUCAAAGAAUUAUUGUCCAGUUGCGGUUGUAACUGGAAGAGUCAAGAAUAAAAAGCAUGCUGUGAUUACCUCGGGAAAACUAGAUGCAAGACUAUUGAAUUUUACUAGCAAUAAUUCAAUGAGUUCUUUGAUGGAAUAAAUUUUUUGAAUUUCA
Spodoptera frugiperda (fall armyworm) is the source of this 363-nucleotide long non-coding RNA. RefSeq lists it as uncharacterized. The record is from RefSeq and is a predicted model, not a curated record. Lineage: Eukaryota; Metazoa; Arthropoda; Insecta; Lepidoptera; Noctuidae. The transcript has 2 exons.